CUGUGUAGAAAGGCGUUUCUGGAAGAGGCCAUACGGCCUUAACUCCCCUGCAGUGUCCUGCUAGACUCUGUGCUGCAAGGUUUGAAGACAAAGCUCUUCAGUUUCUCAAGACACAGGCCUACAGCCAGGCUUCACCUGCCUUUCUGCCUGGGAGGUGAAAGAUUUACAGAUACCCUAGAUGUGAGGCAGCGUAUUGGAUGUGCUCAUCCGUUCCAGGAAAGAGAAGAAAGUCAAAGCAAAUAAAAAUCCUCAAGCUGAAGAUCCCACAGAACAGAAAAAGGCAAGUCUAACAUCAGUCUAACACUGACGCAUCCAGCUCAAUGUUUCAGCAGGUGGGAAGGUGCUCCCCACACUUCCAGUGCCCACCCAAGAGAAGAGGGCAGCGCAGGGGCUGUGUCUCUCACACAGACGAGCCUUGCAGGGUGUGAAUAUGGAUGCGGAAAACAACUAAGAUCAACUGUGCCUCAUCACCUGUGUUGCAUGUGCACUGCCAGCACUCCCCAGAACACCUGGAGGUAUUUCUGAUUACACCAGUUUGAGCAAAGGAAACCCUGAACCUUGACCUAAGUCUUGGCAAAUAUGUAAAGGAAUUACUGACUUUCCAACCAUUUGUCUAUUAUCUGUAAUUUUAAGCCUACACACAUGCUCUGGUAAUGAGCUUACACAGCUUUCAUUGUUCUUUUAAAGAAGUAGUAAAAAAAUCAGCUCUCUGGAAGUAAUGGUGAUACAUUGCUAAACAAGUUUGGAGAAGGCCAAAAAACCACCCUCAUCAUGCUGGUAGCAGAGGUAUUUUCCAGAAUCUCAUGUUACAGUCUGUAUUAUAGAGCACAGUCUGUACAAUAAAUGAUGCCUUAGAUGCUUGAUUAAAAGGUGCCUAAGAGAACGAGGCAAUGAUAAAGGAAAUAGUCUGCAAGGGAAGGCUGAAUGUGUGAUGGGCAGACUGUCAUUACAGGUUUUUUUCUGGAUAGACCAUCUGUGCUAUAUGAAGGUUUGUAUCCUCAAGACAGCCAUAAUUCAUAUCAAUGUCAUGACACAAGCUACAACUAACCAUACCAAAAAGGUUAUGUCAGUGUUGAGGUCACCUGAUAAGUACUUAAAUAGCUAUCCUAUGCAGUUAAACGAAUUAACAAAUCUUUCAGACAAAAAGAUAAUCAUUAAGCCAACAGGACAACAUCCACUAAACGGAUGAGUCAGAAUGAUCUGCCCAAUGCACCUAAGGGUAAGUAUCUAGUCAUAAUAAUAAUGAUGAUUAGUUGGAAAAAAAUAACUACUGAAGUAUAGCGGCCUUGGCAUGUCCUUCUCUGGUUUGUCUCUAUUUCCAAGUUAGUUUGCAUGAUAAGCCAACUUUGUAAGACACAAAAAUGUUGCAUGUGUAAAGUGUGAAUGUGGAUCUCAUUCAAGCUCUUUAUGAAGUUCUCCUUUGUGAGGAAGAAUAAAUCAACAUGAAAACGCCAGGAAGCACAUUUGUCAUGUUUUUGUCUCAAAGUGAAAAGUUUGGCAAAUUCAGCGUGCCUCAAGAACCCUUUUCAGAGUAAAUGUUAUUUCUGUGUUUAGAAGAAAUGCAUCAAAGCAAUCCUAGCAGAUCUACAGGAUUAGAGUCAGGAAAAUAUCUUAUUUUCCCUUGCUGAAUCAAAAAGUUAGUUCCCAGUCUCCUAAAUCUUACACCAAGUGUUUUAUGGCCCUUAAAAGUGAAGUGAAAGGCUUUGCACCUGUCAAGACCUGCGUUAGCUGAUGAAAUCCCCUGGCACAGCAAGCCCAGGAGAGGCACUCCCUGUCCUGCCGCCAGCGCUGCCGAUGCCAGAUGCCGUAGCCGAGGAAACCCCGCUCAAGCCCUCAGGAACCAAACUCAGUGUUUGGCAGCAAACAUCGGAGGAUUUGAAUUCUGCUUUAAAACACAGCUUGGAUUUGAGUCCAGGCAUGCUUCUAUUCAUGACUCAGGAUAGUAAAGAAAUUCUAGUAUUAUUUGUAUUCCAUCUCAUUUCACUUUACAAUUUCACUAGGGUAAAGCUGCAAAUAUAAAAUUGUUUUGCAUUAAAGAACGACAAGCAAGUUUCUCCCAAUGCAUCAAGAGCUUUGAGAGGACAGUUUUGAAGUCCUAGAGUGGACGAGAAAGGUAAACCAACCUUUAAAGCUCAGUCAGAUCUAUUCUCAU
Molecule: long non-coding RNA, 2152 nt
Organism: Calidris pugnax (ruff)
Lineage: Eukaryota; Metazoa; Chordata; Aves; Charadriiformes; Scolopacidae
Exons: 3
Source: RefSeq, a predicted model, not a curated record